AAUACUAAUAGAAAUGAAAUUAAAGGAUCCAUAGAACAGGAGCCAAAAGAACUACAAAUACCGGAAGAAAACAGAAAUAUUAUUGAAAAUGGUGAACAGAGAGAACAGGAGCCAGACGAACUACAAGAAAAAUAUACAAAAAAAGAAACGAUUAGAAAAAGGAAAAAAAUCAAAGAAAUUAAAUCAGAAAGAUUAAAAGCGAAUAAAGAAAGCAUUAAAAAUAAACAUCAGGUGACAAGAAUCCUGUGACAAAAAUAAAUGUAAAAAGCAAUGAACAAUGUUUACCCAGCUUGGUCACGAGGAAUGUGAACUCUGCGAAGAAUUUAAACUUCACAAUCCGCAACACAAUUCUGAAUCACUUAAACUGGACUGUGAAAAUUGUGAUAAAUGGAAUACACAUAUUCUUCAAGCCAAACGAUUAAGGGAAUUGUAUCAACAAGAUUGUGAAAAACCAGAGACAAAUGACACUUGCCUUACAAAAAAUAAUAAUGUUACCCAGGAUUGAGAUGUUCAAAAAGGCUAUAAUUUCCCAGAGAUUAAUUGCAUAUAAUGAAAGUUUUGUCCCGAUAGGUAAAAAAAGGGAAACAAUCGUCACCACAUGCUGUACUUUGGCUUGAAGCUGUCUAAAGAAAACAUUAAAAGUUGUUUUUAUUCCUUUUUCUUGCAUAAUAGAGAUUAUAAAGACUUUGUUAUUUGGCUUGAUAAUUGUGCAUCCCAGAACAAAAACUGGGCUUUCUUUACUUUUCUUAUUUUUCUAGUUAAUCCAGAACAAAUUGCCGCAGAACAAAUGUGCUAAUUUUGAGACUGGACACACCUUCAUGUCAGCGGACAGCUUCCACCACCACAUCAAUUCUG
Molecule: long non-coding RNA, 855 nt
Organism: Anthonomus grandis grandis
Lineage: Eukaryota; Metazoa; Arthropoda; Insecta; Coleoptera; Curculionidae
Exons: 3
Source: RefSeq, a predicted model, not a curated record